AGUGAACGCUGGCGGCGUGCCUAAUACAUGCAAGUCGAACGAGAAAAGGGAAACCUGAGUCCAGUGGCGUACGGGUGAGUAACGCGUAGGUAAUCUACACCAGAAUCCGGAAUAACCUGCAGAAAUGCGGGCUAAUACUGCUUAGAGCGAGGGAACUCGUAAGAGAGUUUUUCGGGUAGGGGAGCCCGCAAGGGCCUUCGUUUUGGGAUGAACCUGCGUCUCAUUAGCUAGUUGGUAAGGUAACGGCUUACCAAGGCGAUGAUGAGUAGCUGGGCUGAGAGGAUGGUCAGCCACCCUGGGACUGAAACAAGGGCCAGACUCCUAAGGGGAGGCGCAGGUGGGGAACUUGCGCAAUGGGAGGAAGUCUGACGGAGCCAAGGCGGGGUGGGGAAGAAAGGCCUCGGGUUGUAAAGAUCUGUCUAUUGGGAAGGACAUCUUAAUAGAGAAUAGAUAUAAGUAUUGACGGUACCAUCUAAGAAAGCAACGACUAACUACGUG
This 498-nucleotide ribosomal RNA is filed under the name uncultured bacterium. Its description in RNAcentral is "partial 16S ribosomal RNA". It matches the Rfam family "Bacterial small subunit ribosomal RNA", at positions 29 to 507 of the family's 1533-position model. The record is from RNAcentral.